GUCCUUCAUUUUCUUCCCAAGAAUUUCCUCAUCAGCAUUGUACCAUUUAUAUGCCAGUGGAUUUUUACUAGUAGGACCCUCAUACUUAAUCUUAGGAAUACCAGGGAAAAAUUCCCCUUCCCAAUCCCCAGAAUGACUGCAUUCAUUAUUUAGAUCAGCAGGACAUGUGGAAGACUCAGCAAUCGCUCCAAGAAAUAACACAAUCAAACACAAAACCAGAACCGAUACUUCCCGAGACUUCAUUUUCCUUUCCCUACUUAAAUCGAAGUGAUCCUCGAAGAACUACAAAA
This 290-nucleotide unclassified non-coding RNA is filed under the name Hevea brasiliensis (rubber tree). Lineage: Eukaryota; Viridiplantae; Streptophyta; Magnoliopsida; Malpighiales; Euphorbiaceae. The record is from RNAcentral.